This 1522-nucleotide ribosomal RNA is filed under the name Salmonella enterica subsp. enterica serovar Kentucky. RNAcentral describes it as "bacterial SSU rRNA". It matches the Rfam family "Bacterial small subunit ribosomal RNA". Lineage: Bacteria; Pseudomonadati; Pseudomonadota; Gammaproteobacteria; Enterobacterales; Enterobacteriaceae. The record is from RNAcentral.
AGAGUUUGAUCAUGGCUCAGAUUGAACGCUGGCGGCAGGCCUAACACAUGCAAGUCGAACGGUAACAGGAAGCAGCUUGCUGCUUUGCUGACGAGUGGCGGACGGGUGAGUAAUGUCUGGGAAACUGCCUGAUGGAGGGGGAUAACUACUGGAAACGGUGGCUAAUACCGCAUAACGUCGCAAGACCAAAGAGGGGGACCUUCGGGCCUCUUGCCAUCAGAUGUGCCCAGAUGGGAUUAGCUGGUUGGUGAGGUAACGGCUCACCAAGGCGACGAUCCCUAGCUGGUCUGAGAGGAUGACCAGCCACACUGGAACUGAGACACGGUCCAGACUCCUACGGGAGGCAGCAGUGGGGAAUAUUGCACAAUGGGCGCAAGCCUGAUGCAGCCAUGCCGCGUGUAUGAAGAAGGCCUUCGGGUUGUAAAGUACUUUCAGCGGGGAGGAAGGUGUUGUGGUUAAUAACCGCAGCAAUUGACGUUACCCGCAGAAGAAGCACCGGCUAACUCCGUGCCAGCAGCCGCGGUAAUACGGAGGGUGCAAGCGUUAAUCGGAAUUACUGGGCGUAAAGCGCACGCAGGCGGUCUGUCAAGUCGGAUGUGAAAUCCCCGGGCUCAACCUGGGAACUGCAUUCGAAACUGGCAGGCUUGAGUCUUGUAGAGGGGGGUAGAAUUCCAGGUGUAGCGGUGAAAUGCGUAGAGAUCUGGAGGAAUACCGGUGGCGAAGGCGGCCCCCUGGACAAAGACUGACGCUCAGGUGCGAAAGCGUGGGGAGCAAACAGGAUUAGAUACCCUGGUAGUCCACGCCGUAAACGAUGUCUACUUGGAGGUUGUGCCCUUGAGGCGUGGCUUCCGGAGCUAACGCGUUAAGUAGACCGCCUGGGGAGUACGGCCGCAAGGUUAAAACUCAAAUGAAUUGACGGGGGCCCGCACAAGCGGUGGAGCAUGUGGUUUAAUUCGAUGCAACGCGAAGAACCUUACCUGGUCUUGACAUCCACAGAACUUUCCAGAGAUGGAUUGGUGCCUUCGGGAACCGUGAGACAGGUGCUGCAUGGCUGUCGUCAGCUCGUGUUGUGAAAUGUUGGGUUAAGUCCCGCAACGAGCGCAACCCUUAUCCUUUGUUGCCAGCGGUCAGGCCGGGAACUCAAAGGAGACUGCCAGUGAUAAACUGGAGGAAGGUGGGGAUGACGUCAAGUCAUCAUGGCCCUUACGACCAGGGCUACACACGUGCUACAAUGGCGCAUACAAAGAGAAGCGACCUCGCGAGAGCAAGCGGACCUCAUAAAGUGCGUCGUAGUCCGGAUUGGAGUCUGCAACUCGACUCCAUGAAGUCGGAAUCGCUAGUAAUCGUGGAUCAGAAUGCCACGGUGAAUACGUUCCCGGGCCUUGUACACACCGCCCGUCACACCAUGGGAGUGGGUUGCAAAAGAAGUAGGUAGCUUAACCUUCGGGAGGGCGCUUACCACUUUGUGAUUCAUGACUGGGGUGAAGUCGUAACAAGGUAACCGUAGGGGAACCUGCGGUUG